UCGAUUUGAAGGUUGUAGACUUUGAGCUGUGACUUUCGGAGCUAACGCGUUAAAUCGACCGCCUGGGGAGUACGACCGCAAGGUUAAAACUCAAAUGAAUUGACGGGGGCCCGCACAAGCGGUGGAGCAUGUGGUUUAAUUCGAUGCAACACGAAGAACCUUACCUACUCUUGACAUCCAAAGAAUCACAUAGAGAUAUGAGAGUGCCUUCGGGAACUUUGAGACAGGUGCUGCAUGGCUGUCGUCAGCUCGUGUUGUGAAAUGUUGGGUUAAGUCCCGCAACGAGCGCAACCCUUAUCCUUUGUUGCCAACGAGUAAAGUCGGGAACUCAAAGGAGACUGCCGGUGAUAAACCGGAGGAAGGCGAGGAUGACGUCAAGUCAUCAUGGCCCUUAUGAGUAGGGCUACAAACGUGCUACAAUGGCGUAUACAAAGAGAAGCAACCUCGCGAGAGUCAGCGAACCUCAUAAAGUGCGUCUUAGUCCGGAUUGGAGUCUGCAACUCGACUCCAUGAAGUCGGAAUCGCUAGUAAUCGUGGAUCAGAAUGUCACGGUGAAUACGUUCCCGGGCC
RNAcentral lists this ribosomal RNA (570 nucleotides) under endosymbiont of Camponotus kiusiuensis. RNAcentral describes it as "bacterial SSU rRNA". It matches the Rfam family "Bacterial small subunit ribosomal RNA", at positions 812 to 1380 of the family's 1533-position model. The record is from RNAcentral. Lineage: Bacteria; Pseudomonadati; Pseudomonadota; Gammaproteobacteria; Enterobacterales; Enterobacteriaceae.